Molecule: ribosomal RNA, 497 nt
Filed under: uncultured bacterium
Lineage: Bacteria
Description: partial 16S ribosomal RNA
Rfam family: Bacterial small subunit ribosomal RNA
Source: RNAcentral
GAUGAACGCUGGCGGCGUGCCUAAUACAUGCAAGUCGAGCGAACAGACGAGGAGCUUGCUCCUCUGACGUUAGCGGCGGACGGGUGAGUAACACGUGGAUAACCUACCUAUAAGACUGGGAUAACUUCGGGAAACCGGAGCUAAUACCGGAUAAUAUAUUGAACCGCAUGGUUCAAUAGUGAAAGACGGUUUUGCUGUCACUUAUAGAUGGAUCCGCGCCGCAUUAGCUAGUUGGUAAGGUAACGGCUUACCAAGGCGACGAUGCGUAGCCGACCUGAGAGGGUGAUCGGCCACACUGGAACUGAGACGCGGUCCAGACUCCUACGGGAGGCAGCAGUAGGGAAUCUUCCGCAAUGGGCGAAAGCUUGACGGAGCAACGCCGCGUGAGUGAUGAAGGUCUUCGGAUCGUAAAACUCUGUUAUUAGGGAAGAACAAAUGUGUAAGUAACUAUGCACGUCUUGACGGUACCUAAUCAGAAAGCCACGGCUAACUACGUG